RNAcentral lists this ribosomal RNA (253 nucleotides) under uncultured bacterium. RNAcentral's name for it is "partial 16S ribosomal RNA". It matches the Rfam family "Bacterial small subunit ribosomal RNA", at positions 524 to 776 of the family's 1533-position model. The record is from RNAcentral.
UACGUAGGGUGCAAGCGUUGUCCGGAAUUAUUGGGCGUAAAGAGCUCGUAGGCGGUCUGUCGCGUCUGCUGUGAAAACUCAGGGCUUAACCCUGAGCUUGCAGUGGGUACGGGCAGACUAGAGUGCGGUAGGGGAGACUGGAAUUCCUGGUGUAGCGGUGAAAUGCGCAGAUAUCAGGAGGAACACCGGUGGCGGAGGCGGGUCUCUGGGCCGUAACUGACGCUGAGGAGCGAAAGCAUGGGGAGCGAACAGG